GAUGAACGCUGGCGGCGUGCCUAAUACAUGCAAGUCGAGCGAACGGACGAGAAGCUUGCUUCUCUGAUGUUAGCGGCGGACGGGUGAGUAGCACGUGGAUAACCUACCUAUAAGACUGGGAUAACUUCGGGAAACCGGAGCUAAUACCGGAUAAUAUUUUGAACCGCAUGGUUCAAAAGUGAAAGACGGUCUUGCUGUCACUUAUAGAUGGAUCCGCGCUGCAUUAGCUAGUUGGUAAGGUAACGGCUUACCAAGGCAACGAUGCAUAGCCGACCUGAGAGGGUGAUCGGCCACACUGGAACUGAGACACGGUCCAGACUCCUACGGGAGGCAGCAGUAGGGAAUCUUCCGCAAUGGGCGAAAGCCUGACGGAGCAACGCCGCGUGAGUGAUGAAGGUCUUCGGAUCGUAAAACUCUGUUAUUAGGGAAGAACAUAUGUGUAAGUAACUGUGCACAUCUUGACGGUACCUAAUCAGAAAGCCACGGCUAACUACGUGCCAGCAGCCGCGGUAAUACGUAGGUGGCAAGCGUUAUCCGGAAUUAUUGGGCGUAAAGCGCGCGUAGGCGGUUUUUUAAGUCUGAUGUGAAAGCCCACGGCUCAACCGUGGAGGGUCAUUGGAAACUGGAAAACUUGAGUGCAGAAGAGGAAAGUGGAAUUCCAUGUGUAGCGGUGAAAUGCGCAGAGAUAUGGAGGAACACCAGUGGCGAAGGCGACUUUCUGGUCUGUAACUGACGCUGAUGUGCGGAAGCGUGGGGAUCAAACAGGAUUAGAUACCCUGGUAGUCCACGCCGUAAACGAUGAGUGCUAAGUGUUAGGGGGUUUCCGCCCCUUAGUGCUGCAGCUAACGCAUUAAGCACUCCGCCUGGGGAGUACGACCGCAAGGUUGAAACUCAAAGGAAUUGACGGGGACCCGCACAAGCGGUGGAGCAUGUGGUUUAAUUCGAAGCGACGCGAAGAACCUUACCAAAUCUUGACAUCCUUUGACAACUCUAGAGAUAGAGCCUUCCCCUUCGGGGGACAAAGUGACAGGUGGUGCAUGGUUGUCGUCAGCUCGUGUCGUGAGAUGUUGGGUUAAGUCCCGCAACGAGCGCAACCCUUAAGCUUAGUUGCCAUCAUUAAGUUGGGCACUCUAAGUUGACUGCCGGUGACAAACCGGAGGAAGGUGGGGAUGACGUCAAAUCAUCAUGCCCCUUAUGAUUUGGGCUACACACGUGCUACAAUGGACAAUACAAAGGGCAGCGAAACCGCGAGGUCAAGCAAAUCCCAUAAAGUUGUUCUCAGUUCGGAUUGUAGUCUGCAACUCGACUACAUGAAGCUGGAAUCGCUAGUAAUCGUAGAUCAGCAUGCUACGGUGAAUACGUUCCCGGGUCU
This 1372-nucleotide ribosomal RNA is filed under the name uncultured bacterium. RNAcentral's name for it is "bacterial SSU rRNA". It matches the Rfam family "Bacterial small subunit ribosomal RNA", at positions 28 to 1381 of the family's 1533-position model. The record is from RNAcentral.